ACGAAGGGGGCUAGCGUUGUUCGGAAUUACUGGGCGUAAAGGGCGCGUAGGCGGUCCUGAUCGUCGGAUGUGAAAGGCCUGGGCUCAACCUGGGAACUGCAUCCGAUACGGCGGGACUGGAGUGUGGGAGAGGUUGGUGGAAUUCCCAGUGUAGAGGUGAAAUUCGUAGAUAUUGGGAAGAACACCGGUGGCGAAGGCGGCCAACUGGACCACAACUGACGCUGAGGCGCGAAAGCGUGGGGAGCAAACAGGA
RNAcentral lists this ribosomal RNA (253 nucleotides) under uncultured prokaryote. RNAcentral's name for it is "partial 16S ribosomal RNA". It matches the Rfam family "Bacterial small subunit ribosomal RNA", at positions 525 to 777 of the family's 1533-position model. The record is from RNAcentral.